GACGAACGCUGGCGGCGUGCUUAACACAUGCAAGUCGAACGGAAAGGCCCUGCUUUUGUGGGGUGCUCGAGUGGCGAACGGGUGAGUAACACGUGAGUAACCUGCCCUUGACUUUGGGAUAACUUCAGGAAACUGGGGCUAAUACCGGAUAGGAGCUCCUGCUGCAUGGUGGGGGUUGGAAAGUUUCGGCGGUUGGGGAUGGACUCGCGGCUUAUCAGCUUGUUGGUGGGGUAGUGGCUUACCAAGGCUUUGACGGGUAGCCGGCCUGAGAGGGUGACCGGCCACAUUGGGACUGAGAUACGGCCCAGACUCCUACGGGAGGCAGCAGUGGGGAAUAUUGCACAAUGGGCGGAAGCCUGAUGCAGCAACGCCGCGUGCGGGAUGACGGCCUUCGGGUUGUAAACCGCUUUCGCCUGUGACGAAGCGUGAGUGACGGUAAUGGGUAAAGAAGCACCGGCUAACUACGUGCCAGCAGCCGCGGUGAUACGUAGGGUGCGAGCGUUGUCCGGAUUUAUUGGGCGUAAAGGGCUCGUAGGUGGUUGAUCGCGUCGGAAGUGUAAUCUUGGGGCUUAACCCUGAGCGUGCUUUCGAUACGGGUUGACUUGAGGAAGGUAGGGGAGAAUGGAAUCCCUGGUGGAGCGGUGGAAUGCGCAGAUAUCAGGAGGAACACCAGUGGCGAAGGCGGUUCUCUGGGCCUUUCCUGACGCUGAGGAGCGAAAGCGUGGGGAGCGAACAGGCUUAGAUACCCUGGUAGUCCACGCUGUAAACGGUGGGUACUAGGUGUGGGGUCCAUUCCACGGGUUCCGUGCCGUAGCUAACGCUUUAAGUACCCCGCCUGGGGAGUACGGCCGCAAGGCUAAAACUCAAAGGAAUUGACGGGGCCCCGCACAAGCGGCGGAGCAUGCGGAUUAAUUCGAUGCAACGCGUAGAACCUUACCUGGGUUUGACAUGGAUCGGGAGUGCUCAGAGAUGGGUGUGCCUCUUUUGGGGUCGGUUCACAGGUGGUGCGUGGCUGUCGUCAGCUCGUGUCGUGAGAUGUUGGGUUAAGUCCCGCAACGAGCGCAACCCUUGUUCACUGUUGCCAGCACGUUAUGGUGGGGACUCAGUGGAGACCGCCGGGGUCAACUCGGAGGAAGGUGGGGAUGACGUCAAGUCAUCAUGCCCCUUAUGUCCAGGGCUUCACGCAUGCUACAAUGGCUGGUACAGAGAGUGGCGAGCCUGUGAGGGUGAGCGAAUCUCGGAAAGCCGGUCUCAGUUCGGAUUGGGGUCUGCAACUCGACCUCAUGAAGUCGGAGUCGCUAGUAAUCGCAGAUCAGCAACGCUGCGGUGAAUACGUUCCCGGGGCU
RNAcentral lists this ribosomal RNA (1346 nucleotides) under uncultured bacterium. RNAcentral's name for it is "partial 16S ribosomal RNA". It matches the Rfam family "Bacterial small subunit ribosomal RNA", at positions 28 to 1381 of the family's 1533-position model. The record is from RNAcentral.